This is a long non-coding RNA of Erigeron canadensis, 1037 nucleotides long. RefSeq lists it as uncharacterized. The transcript is spliced from 4 exons. Lineage: Eukaryota; Viridiplantae; Streptophyta; Magnoliopsida; Asterales; Asteraceae. The record is from RefSeq and is a predicted model, not a curated record.
CUAAAAUGCCCAUUUAACUUAAAAUUGGUAAUGUCAUCUCACGCUUCCCACCCAAAACCCCUCCCCCUUUGCUCCAACAACCCUAACCCUCUCUCAAUCUCCAGCCGCCAUCACCACCAUCAGAAUCCUAAGGCUUUUUUUUAAUGUUUUUAAUCAUCACCAUCAUCCCCGACACACGUUGCCAUUGUCGCCUCAGUCGCCAUCACGUACACCACCACCACCACAACCACCACACAUCAACCCUCUACAUUAGAGAUACGGCCGAUCAUUUCCAAUGGAUGAAAAACUGAAUGCAAUGUUGCAGAUCAUGAGGGUGAUAAAGGCUCAAAAACAUGUAGUUUCCGGUACUAUGCAUCAUCUUAGUCUGGAAGUUAUCCAUGCGCAAUUGGCACAUUGUCGGUUUUAAGCAAUACACUCAGGAGUAUAAAGCUCAGGUUUGAUCACAAGUUAUGUGUUUAUGGCAGCUUUUGUUUAUAGGCUUUUUUGUAUAGGAAUUGAAUAUGUGUGGAUGUAAGUGCAAUAAAAUGAGUUCAUUCAGCUAAGACGGGAGGCACGAUUAAAAGGUGGUUUUUAUGUGAUUUCUGAAGCUUCAUCAUCUAGCACUUAUAACCAUUUUAAAUGUAUUUGAAUAGGUAUAUUCGUUAAGAACUCAGAAUUAUUUUAUACAUUUAAUGGAGAGGUAAUUGGUUUACUUUUCGUUUCCAUUUACAUACACACAAAGGUCUGAAAAGACCAGCCCCCUUUGCUACUGUUGUAGGAAGCCGGUUUCCAUUAUCAUGGUGGCAAACUUGAUGAUAUAACGGUUGUUGUUUCCGUUAUCAUGAUGGCAAACUUGAUGAUAUAACGGUUGUCAUUUCAUUUAACAGAUGGGGCUUAAAGCCCGUCGACCUCCAUGCCGCCGGGAUGCCGUUUUGUUUGCGCCGGUGUUUCUUCAGCGGGCUAGGCAUGCCGCCGAGAUGCUGAUGACCACUCCUCUCCCCCUAACAACCGAAUGCCAACGAAGAUCAGUCCAACUUGUCAGAGACACUCCCGGUUUU